AUUGAACGCUGGCGGCAGGCCUAACACAUGCAAGUCGAGCGGAUGAAGGGAGCUUGCUCCUGGAUUCAGCGGCGGACGGGUGAGUAAUGCCUAGGAAUCUGCCUGGUAGUGGGGGGUAACGUCCGGAAACGGGCGCUAAUACCGCAUACGUCCUGAGGGAGAAAGUGGGGGAUCUUCGGACCUCACGCUAUCAGAUGAGCCUAGGUCGGAUUAGCUAGUUGGUGGGGUAAAGGCCUACCAAGGCGACGAUCCGUAACUGGUCUGAGAGGAUGAUCAGUCACACUGGAACUGAGACACGGUCCAGACUCCUACGGGAGGCAGCAGUGGGGAAUAUUGGACAAUGGGCGCAAGCCUGAUCCAGCCAUGCCGCGUGUGUGAAGAAGGUCUUCGGAUUGUAAAGCACUUUAAGUUGGGAGGAAGGGCAGUAAGUUAAUACCUUGCUGUUUUGACGUUACCAACAGAAUAAGCACCGGCUAACUUCGUG
Molecule: ribosomal RNA, 484 nt
Filed under: uncultured bacterium
Lineage: Bacteria
Description: partial 16S ribosomal RNA
Rfam family: Bacterial small subunit ribosomal RNA
Source: RNAcentral